This 317-nucleotide ribosomal RNA is filed under the name uncultured bacterium. RNAcentral describes it as "bacterial SSU rRNA". It matches the Rfam family "Bacterial small subunit ribosomal RNA", at positions 28 to 334 of the family's 1533-position model. The record is from RNAcentral.
GACGAACGCUGGCGGCGUGCUUAAUGCAUGCAAGUCGAACGAAGAACCCCCUCUGGGUAACCAAAGGGGAAUUCUUAGUGGCGAACGGGUGAGUAACACGUGAGAAACCUGCCCCGGAGAUCGGGAUAGCCCAGGGAAACCUGGAUUAAUACCGAAUAUCCUCGUACGGUCGCAUGGCCGAUCGAGGAAAUGGUCCGCCGCUCCGGGACGGUCUCGCGUCCUAUCAGCUAGUUGGUGAGGUAAAGGCUCACCAAGGCAUCGACGGGUAGCUGGUCUGAGAGGACGAUCAGCCACACUGGGACUGAGACACGGCCCAG